This 2906-nucleotide ribosomal RNA is filed under the name Escherichia coli. Its description in RNAcentral is "23S ribosomal RNA". It matches the Rfam family "Bacterial large subunit ribosomal RNA". The record is from RNAcentral. Lineage: Bacteria; Pseudomonadati; Pseudomonadota; Gammaproteobacteria; Enterobacterales; Enterobacteriaceae.
GGUUAAGCGACUAAGCGUACACGGUGGAUGCCCUGGCAGUCAGAGGCGAUGAAGGACGUGCUAAUCUGCGAUAAGCGUCGGUAAGGUGAUAUGAACCGUUAUAACCGGCGAUUUCCGAAUGGGGAAACCCAGUGUGUUUCGACACACUAUCAUUAACUGAAUCCAUAGGUUAAUGAGGCGAACCGGGGGAACUGAAACAUCUAAGUACCCCGAGGAAAAGAAAUCAACCGAGAUUCCCCCAGUAGCGGCGAGCGAACGGGGAGCAGCCCAGAGCCUGAAUCAGUGUGUGUGUUAGUGGAAGCGUCUGGAAAGGCGCGCGAUACAGGGUGACAGCCCCGUACACAAAAAUGCACAUGCUGUGAGCUCGAUGAGUAGGGCGGGACACGUGGUAUCCUGUCUGAAUAUGGGGGGACCAUCCUCCAAGGCUAAAUACUCCUGACUGACCGAUAGUGAACCAGUACCGUGAGGGAAAGGCGAAAAGAACCCCGGCGAGGGGAGUGAAAAAGAACCUGAAACCGUGUACGUACAAGCAGUGGGAGCACGCUUCGGCGUGUGACUGCGUACCUUUUGUAUAAUGGGUCAGCGACUUAUAUUCUGUAGCAAGGUUAACCGAAUAGGGGAGCCGAAGGGAAACCGAGUCUUAACUGGGCGUUAAGUUGCAGGGUAUAGACCCGAAACCCGGUGAUCUAGCCAUGGGCAGGUUGAAGGUUGGGUAACACUAACUGGAGGACCGAACCGACUAAUGUUGAAAAAUUAGCGGAUGACUUGUGGCUGGGGGUGAAAGGCCAAUCAAACCGGGAGAUAGCUGGUUCUCCCCGAAAGCUAUUUAGGUAGCGCCUCGUGAAUUCAUCUCCGGGGGUAGAGCACUGUUUCGGCAAGGGGGUCAUCCCGACUUACCAACCCGAUGCAAACUGCGAAUACCGGAGAAUGUUAUCACGGGAGACACACGGCGGGUGCUAACGUCCGUCGUGAAGAGGGAAACAACCCAGACCGCCAGCUAAGGUCCCAAAGUCAUGGUUAAGUGGGAAACGAUGUGGGAAGGCCCAGACAGCCAGGAUGUUGGCUUAGAAGCAGCCAUCAUUUAAAGAAAGCGUAAUAGCUCACUGGUCGAGUCGGCCUGCGCGGAAGAUGUAACGGGGCUAAACCAUGCACCGAAGCUGCGGCAGCGACGCUUAUGCGUUGUUGGGUAGGGGAGCGUUCUGUAAGCCUGUGAAGGUGUGCUGUGAGGCAUGCUGGAGGUAUCAGAAGUGCGAAUGCUGACAUAAGUAACGAUAAAGCGGGUGAAAAGCCCGCUCGCCGGAAGACCAAGGGUUCCUGUCCAACGUUAAUCGGGGCAGGGUGAGUCGACCCCUAAGGCGAGGCCGAAAGGCGUAGUCGAUGGGAAACAGGUUAAUAUUCCUGUACUUGGUGUUACUGCGAAGGGGGGACGGAGAAGGCUAUGUUGGCCGGGCGACGGUUGUCCCGGUUUAAGCGUGUAGGCUGGUUUUCCAGGCAAAUCCGGAAAAUCAAGGCUGAGGCGUGAUGACGAAGCACUACGGUGCUGAAGCAACAAAUGCCCUGCUUCCAGGAAAAGCCUCUAAGCAUCAGGUAACAUCAAAUCGUACCCCAAACCGACACAGGUGGUCAGGUAGAGAAUACCAAGGCGCUUGAGAGAACUCGGGUGAAGGAACUAGGCAAAAUGGUGCCGUAACUUCGGGAGAAGGCACGCUGAUAUGUAGGUGAAGUCCCUUGCGGAUGGAGCUGAAAUCAGUCGAAGAUACCAGCUGGCUGCAACUGUUUAUUAAAAACACAGCACUGUGCAAACACGAAAGUGGACGUAUACGGUGUGACGCCUGCCCGGUGCCGGAAGGUUAAUUGAUGGGGUUAGCGGUAACGCGAAGCUCUUGAUCGAAGCCCCGGUAAACGGCGGCCGUAACUAUAACGGUCCUAAGGUAGCGAAAUUCCUUGUCGGGUAAGUUCCGACCUGCACGAAUGGCGUAAUGAUGGCCAGGCUGUCUCCACCCGAGACUCAGUGAAAUUGAACUCGCUGUGAAGAUGCAGUGUACCCGCGGCAAGACGGAAAGACCCCGUGAACCUUUACUAUAGCUUGACACUGAACAUUGAGCCUUGAUGUGUAGGAUAGGUGGGAGGCUUUGAAGUGUGGACGCCAGUCUGCAUGGAGCCGACCUUGAAAUACCACCCUUUAAUGUUUGAUGUUCUAACGUUGACCCGUAAUCCGGGUUGCGGACAGUGUCUGGUGGGUAGUUUGACUGGGGCGGUCUCCUCCUAAAGAGUAACGGAGGAGCACGAAGGUUGGCUAAUCCUGGUCGGACAUCAGGAGGUUAGUGCAAUGGCAUAAGCCAGCUUGACUGCGAGCGUGACGGCGCGAGCAGGUGCGAAAGCAGGUCAUAGUGAUCCGGUGGUUCUGAAUGGAAGGGCCAUCGCUCAACGGAUAAAAGGUACUCCGGGGAUAACAGGCUGAUACCGCCCAAGAGUUCAUAUCGACGGCGGUGUUUGGCACCUCGAUGUCGGCUCAUCACAUCCUGGGGCUGAAGUAGGUCCCAAGGGUAUGGCUGUUCGCCAUUUAAAGUGGUACGCGAGCUGGGUUUAGAACGUCGUGAGACAGUUCGGUCCCUAUCUGCCGUGGGCGCUGGAGAACUGAGGGGGGCUGCUCCUAGUACGAGAGGACCGGAGUGGACGCAUCACUGGUGUUCGGGUUGUCAUGCCAAUGGCACUGCCCGGUAGCUAAAUGCGGAAGAGAUAAGUGCUGAAAGCAUCUAAGCACGAAACUUGCCCCGAGAUGAGUUCUCCCUGACUCCUUGAGAGUCCUGAAGGAACGUUGAAGACGACGACGUUGAUAGGCCGGGUGUGUAAGCGCAGCGAUGCGUUGAGCUAACCGGUACUAAUGAACCGUGAGGCUUAACCUU